UUCAUUGGUGCCUUUGUUAGUAAAAAAAGUUUAAGUUUUGGUGACUUUAAUAGUGAACUAGUGUUUAGGAGGUGAUGUUGUUGGUUACUUUAUUCGUUGAAAAUGCUUAACUUUUGGUGACUUUAAAAGUGAACUUUUGUUUAGAAGGUGAUGUUGUAAGUGAACUUUUGUUUAGAAGGUGAUGUCGUUGGUGCCUUUGUUAGUAGAAAAAGCUUUACUUUUGGUGACUUUUAUAGUAAACUAGUGUUUAGGAGGUGAUGUUGUUGGUUACUUUAUUUGUUAAAAAUGCUUAACUUUUGGUGACAUUAAAAGUGAACUUUUGUUUAGAAGGUGAUGUUGUAAGUGAACUUUUGUUUAGAAGGUCAUGUUAUUGGUGACUUUAUUUGUUGAAAAUGCUUAACUUUUGGUGACUUUAAUAGUGAAUUAGUGUUUAGGAGGUGAUGUUGUUGGUUACUUUAUUUGUUGAAAAUGCUUAAGUGCUGAUGACUUUAAAAAUGAACUUUUGUUUAGAAGGUGAUGUUGUUAGUGACUUUAUUUGUUGAAAAUGCUUAAGUGCCGGUGACUUUAAUAGUGAAUUAGUGUUUAGGAGGUGAUGUUGUUGGUUACUUUAUUUGUUGAAAAUGCUUAAGUGCCGGUGACUUUAAUAGUGAAUUAGUGUUUAGGAGGUGAUGUUGUUGGUUACUUUAUUUGUUGAAAAUGCUUAAGUUUUGGUGACUUUAAUAGUGAAUUAGUUUCGUUGGUGCUUUUGUUAGUAGAAAAAGCUUAUGUUUUGGUGACUUUAAUAGUGAACUAGUGUUUAGGAGGUGAUGUUGUUGGUGACUUUAUUUGUUGAAAAUGCUUAACUUUUGGUGACUUUAAAAGUGAACUUUUGUUCAGAAGUUUAUGUUGUUGGUUACUUUAUUUGUUGAAAAUACUUAAGUACCGGUGACUUUAAUAGUGAAUUAGUGUUUAGGAGGUGAUGUUGUUGGUGACUUUAUUUGUUGAAAAUGCUUAACUUUUGGUGACUUUAAAAGUGAACUUUUGUUUAGAAGGUGAUGUUGUUGGUGACUUUAUUUAUUGAAAAUGCUUAAGUGCCGGUGACUUUAACAGUGAAUUAGUGUCUAGAAGGUGAUUUUGUUGGUUACUUCAUUUGUUGAAAAUACUUAACUUUUGGUGACUUUAAUAGUGAAUUAGUUUCGUUGGUGCCUUUGUUCUUAGAAAAAGCUUAAGUUUUGGUGACUUUAAUAGUGAACUAGUGUUUAGGAGGUGAUGUUGUUGGUGACUUUGUUUGUUGAAAAUGCAUAAGUGCCGGUGACUUUAAUAGUGAAUUAAUGUUUAGAAGGUGAUGUUGUUGGUUACUUUAUUUGUUGAAAAUGCUUAAGUUUUGGUGACUUUAAUAGUGAACUAUUGUUUAGGAGGUGACGUUGUUGGUGACUUUAUUUGUUGGAAAUACUUAACUUUUGGUGACUUUAAAAGUGAACUUUUGUUUAGAAGGUGAUGUUGUUGGUUACUUUAUUUGUUGAAAAUGCUUAAGUUUUGGUGACUUUAAUAGUGAACUAGUGUUUAGGAGGUGAUGUUGUUGGUUACUUUAUUUAUUGAAAAUGCUUAAGUGCCGAUGACUUUAAAAGUGAACUUUUGUUUUGAAGGUGAUGUUGUUGGUGACUUUGUUUGUUGAAAAUGUUUAAGUGCCGGUGACUUUAAUAAUAAAUUAGUGUUUAGAAGGUGAUGUUGGUGGUUACUUUAUUUGUUGAAAACGCUUAACUUUUGGUGAAUUUAAUAGUGAAUUAGUUUUGUUGGUGGCUUUGUUAGUAGAAAAAGCUUAAAUUUGGUGACUUUAAUAGCGAACUAGUGUUUAGGAGGUAAUGUUGUUGGUGACUUUGUUUGUCGAAAAUGCUUAAGUGCCGGUGACUUUAAUAGUGAAUUAGUGUUUAGAAGGUGAUGUUGUUGGUUACUUUAUUUGUUGAAAAUGCUCAACUUUUGAUGACUUUAAUAGUGAAUUAGUUUCGUUGGUGCCUUUGUUAGUAGAAAAUCCUUAAGUUUUGGUGACUUUAAUAGUGAACUAGUGUUUAGGAGGUGAUGUUGUUGGUGACUUUGUUUGUUGUAAAUGCUUUAGUGCUGGUGACUUUAAUAGUGAAUCAGUGUUUAGAAGGUGAUGUUGUUGGUUACUUUAUUUGUUGAAAAUGCUUAAGUGCCGGUGACUUUAAUAGUGAAUUGGUGUUUAGAAGGUGAUGUUGUUGGUUACUUUAUUUGUUGACAAUGCUUAACUUUUUGUGACUUUAAUAGUGAGUUAGUUUCUUUGGUGCCUUUGUUAGUAGAAAAAGCUUAAGUUUUGGUGACUUUAAUAGUGAACUCGUGUUUAGGAGGUGAUGUUGUUGGUGACUUUGUUUGUUGAAAAUGCUUAAGUGCCGGUGACUUUAAUAGUGAAUUUGUUUUUAGAAGGUGAUAUUGUUGGUUACUUUAUUUGUUGAAAAUGGUUAAGUGCCGGUGACUUUAAUAGUGAAUUAGUGUUUAGAAGUUGAUGUUGUUGGUUACUUUAUUUGUUGAAAAUGCUUAAAUGUCGAUGACUUUAAAAGUGAACUUUUGCUUAGAAGGUGAUGUUGUUGGUGACUUUAUUUGUUGAAAAUUCUUAAGUGCCGGUAACUUUAAUAGUGAAUUAGUGUUUAGGAGGUGAUGUUGUUGGUUACUUUAUUUGUUGAAAAUUCUUAAGUGCCGGUGGCUUUAAUAGUGAAUUAAUGUUUAGAAGGUGAUGUUGUUGGUUACUUUAUUUGUUGAAAAUGCUUAACUUUUGGUGACUUUAAAAGUGAAUUUUUGUUU
RNAcentral lists this long non-coding RNA (2793 nucleotides) under Capsicum annuum. Its description in RNAcentral is "long non-coding RNA (CANN_LNC006281)". The record is from RNAcentral. Lineage: Eukaryota; Viridiplantae; Streptophyta; Magnoliopsida; Solanales; Solanaceae.